UUCACUACCAAACAUGCAAUUAAUCUAAAUGUAGUGAACUUUUGCCACAAACAGGAUCCAGCGAUAUUUGACUUGCUACAUGUAAUGCAGGGAAGCCACCAGAAAACCACUGGAAGAGAAAAGAAGAAUUCCUGAGCAGUCCUCCAGGCUCCAUGCCCUGAAUCCAGAUUUGAAACUGAGAGGGAAGGUGUCUUGGCUGAGAUCAAAGAGAGGAGAGGAACUUUUUAAACUUUCGGCAGAUCUUGAGAAACAAACCAAGUUGGCGUCCAGGAUAUCCUUCGUUUAACGGAUGUAAGAGAUCACAAAGAAUAGCAGGUAACAAGACAUUGACAUACAGCGGAUCAUAAAAGAUAAGAGGGAUAUUCAAUUGGAGAGUAAUUCCAUCCAAGAGCCUUAAUCGAACUUAUGUCGUGGUGGAUGGAAUCUAUUUUCAGCGAGGCCAAGAAAGACAGUUGCUCGACAAUCUUACGGGCUUCUCACAAGCAUCCAUGAGAAUUUUGAACAGAUUGCUGAAAAUAUUCUCCCCACUGAUAGAACCCGAAGGAACGUGGACAAGGUACAAGUAGAUCUUGAUGCCAUCGGAAAUGAAAAUAAUCUCCUUGAGCGAGGGCUUCAUGGUAUAGGAAUCUGUAAAGUUCAAUCAAACUCCAUAUGAAUCAACUGUGAGCAAAUUGUUAAUUAAUUGCAUCGAUUGGA
This is a long non-coding RNA of Olea europaea var. sylvestris, 696 nucleotides long. RefSeq lists it as uncharacterized. The record is from RefSeq and is a predicted model, not a curated record. NCBI's taxonomy places the organism in Eukaryota, Viridiplantae, Streptophyta, Magnoliopsida, Lamiales, Oleaceae. The transcript has 3 exons.